This 429-nucleotide ribosomal RNA is filed under the name Bacteroidota bacterium. Its description in RNAcentral is "Bacteroidetes bacterium partial 16S ribosomal RNA". It matches the Rfam family "Bacterial small subunit ribosomal RNA", at positions 355 to 776 of the family's 1533-position model. Lineage: Bacteria; Pseudomonadati; Bacteroidota. The record is from RNAcentral.
UAGGGAAUCUUCGGCAAUGGGGGGAACCCUGACCGAGCAACGCCGCGUGAGUGAAGAAGGUUUUCGGAUCGUAAAGCUCUGUUGUUAAGGAAGAACGAGUGUGAGAAUGGAAAGUUCAUGCUGUGACGGUACUUAACCAGACAGGGACGGCUAACUACGUGCCAGCCGCCGCGGUAAUACGUAGGUCCCGAGCGUUGUCCGGAUUUAUUGGGCGUAAAGCGAGCGCAGGCGGUUAGAAAAGUCUGAAGUGAAAGGCAGUGGCUCAACCAUUGUAGGCUUUGGAAACUGUGUAACUUGAGUGCAGAAGGGGAGAGUGGAAUUCCAUGUGUAGCGGUGAAAGGCGUAGAUAUAUGGAGGAACACCGGUGGCGAAAGCGGCUCUCUGGUCUGUAACUGACGCUGAGGCUCGAAAGCGUGGGGAGCAAACAGG